GAUGAACGCUGGCGGCGUGCUUAACACAUGCAAGUCGAACGAAGCACUUUAUUUGAUUUCCUUCGGGACUGAUUAUUUUGUGACUGAGUGGCGGACGGGUGAGUAACGCGUGGGUAACCUGCCUUGUACAGGGGGAUAACAGUUGGAAACGGCUGCUAAUACCGCAUAAGCGCACGGCAUCGCAUGAUGCAGUGUGAAAAACUCCGGUGGUAUAAGAUGGACCCGCGUUGGAUUAGCUAGUUGGUGAGGUAACGGCCCACCAAGGCGACGAUCCAUAGCCGACCUGAGAGGGUGACCGGCCACAUUGGGACUGAGACACGGCCCAAACUCCUACGGGAGGCAGCAGUGGGGGAUAUUGCACAAUGGGCGAAAGCCUGAUGCAGCGACGCCGCGUGAGCGAAGAAGUAUUUCGGUAUGUAAAGCUCUAUCAGCAGGGAAGAUAAUGACGGUACCUGACUAAGAAGCACCGGCUAAAUACGUG
Molecule: ribosomal RNA, 481 nt
Filed under: uncultured bacterium
Lineage: Bacteria
Description: partial 16S ribosomal RNA
Rfam family: Bacterial small subunit ribosomal RNA
Source: RNAcentral